CCUGGAAAAAAUGAAGAUGCAGAAUCACCUCAGGAUUUGGAGAAUGUCUCCACGAAUCUCCCACAGAAGUAUGGUGGUGAUUUACGGUGGGCUGCAGUUCACAAACAAGAAUACACCAUAAAUGGACAAGUAGAAGCAGAAGAAGACCUAGAAGUGACAUCAGAGAAUGAGCAAGA
Molecule: long non-coding RNA, 176 nt
Organism: Lemur catta (Ring-tailed lemur)
Lineage: Eukaryota; Metazoa; Chordata; Mammalia; Primates; Lemuridae
Exons: 3
Source: RefSeq, a predicted model, not a curated record